GCCCUUUUAGCCCAGUGGUUAAGGCUUCAGGUUGCACAGGUCUGUUCAUCACAGAAUACCAGGGUACCCCAAGGGCUGGUUCAACCCUUGCAUAUGGCA
Molecule: non-coding RNA, 99 nt
Organism: Dendrothele bispora CBS 962.96
Lineage: Eukaryota; Fungi; Basidiomycota; Agaricomycetes; Agaricales
Source: the annotation of a GenBank genome assembly